ACCUGAUCCUCGGUAGCGAAGGGCUGGAGGCAAACACCGAGCUCCCCCUGAGCCGCCUGGGAGCAGGGAGGGUUCUGCUACCCUGAGGGGCCCUCCCCGCGGGGCAGAGGGGUUUCCUCAGCAGUGCCCCGGAGCAGGGACCGCGCCAGCCAGCAGAAACAGCUAGUUGUUGUCUGCAGUGAAGAAUAAUUGGAAGCAUGGUGCCUGUUUCUUUUCCUGUGGGAGGAAGUCACAGCAUCUACUUCUGAAUCUGUGCUUGCCUUGAGGAAAAACGGCAUGGCACAGGAAUGUGGACGCUUUCAACCAGAGGAUUCUGUACGACGGUGUCGGCACACAAGGAGUGUUCCACUGACUGACCUCUUUUUGUUUUCAAAUGAAGAGGAGCCAAGAAUAGGACAGCUUGGGAAGGUGAGCUGCGUAUAGCUCGUCAGGCUGAGGUAAAAAUCAUGUUGAAUGUGGAGCCGUUCUUGUUUUAACAAGUCUGUACUUGGCUGAUUAGGGCUUUCAAUAGAAUGCAAAGGACGUGAGAGCAACGACGAGCUGGCUUUAUGUGGGAUCGUCUAAAAAGUUUCUGAGAGCUUUUCUGUUAAUCAUCUUUGUUGAUUUUCAUAAUGGUCUUGUCUUACUUAGCUUUCCUCCACUGUAACAAAAUACCUAAGAUAAUUAACUUAUCAAGAGAGAAGGUUUAUCUUGGCUUUCUGUCAUAGAAGUUCCACUUGGCCUCAGUCUUUGAGCCUGUGCUUAGACGGCACUCUGUGGUAGCAGUGAGAGACUGAGGAAAACUUCCCCCUCAUGUCUAAGAAGCAAAGAGAGAGGGGGGUGAAAGUCCCAUACUCCCUUCUGAGGGCAGUCCCUCAGUGAUCCCACAAUGUCCCACUACCACCUUAUUCUAGCACGACCUUGGAACCAAUUUUUUUUAAUUUAACUUUUUAUUGAUUCUUUGUGAAUCACAUCAUGCACAUUAGUCCCACUAUUCUCCCCGUUCCCUGUAUUUCCUCUCUGCCCUUGCAGCCCCCAUAAAAUAUACAUAGAUAGAGAAAUAAAUAAAUAAAUAAAUAAAUAAAUAAAUAAAA
This 1073-nucleotide long non-coding RNA is filed under the name Mus musculus (house mouse). RNAcentral describes it as "RIKEN cDNA 2210408F21 gene". The record is from RNAcentral. Lineage: Eukaryota; Metazoa; Chordata; Mammalia; Rodentia; Muridae.